GGGUACGCUGGCGGCGUGAUAACACAUGCAAGUCGAACGGAGAUAUGAUUUCGGUUGUAUCUUAGUGGCGAACGGGUGAGUAACGCGUGAGCAACCUGACUCUUAGAGGGGGAUAACACUCGGAAACGGGUGCUAAUACCGCAUAAGACCACGACAUGGCAUCAUGACGAGGUCAAAGGAGCAAUCCGCUGAGAGAGGGGCUCGCGUCCCAUUAGAUAGAUGGCGGGGUAACGGCCCACCAUGUCAACGAUGGGUAGCCGAGCUGAGAGGCUGAUCGGCCACACUGGAACUGAGACACGGUCCAGACUCCUACGGGAGGCAGCAGUGGGGAAUAUUGGGCAAUGGGCGCAAGCCUGACCCAGCAACGCCGCGUGAGGGAAGAAGGCUUUCGGGUUGUAAACCUCUGUCCUUGGUGACGAAAAAAAUGACGGUAGCCAAGGAGGAAGCCCCGGCUAACUACGUGCCAGCAGCCGCGGUAAUACGUAGGGGGCGAGCGUUGUCCGGAAUUACUGGGCGUAAAGGGUGCGUAGAUGGCCUUUUAAGUUGGAUGUGAAAUACCCGGGCUUAACCUGGGGGGUGCAUCUAAUACUGGGAGGCUAGAGUGCAGGAGAGGAAAGCGGAAUUCCUAGUGUAGCGGUGAAAUGCGUAGAUAUUAGGAGGAACACCAGUGGCGAAGGCGGCUUUCUGGACUGUAACUGACACUGAGGCACGAAAGCGUGGGGAGCAAACAGGAUUAGAUACCCUGGUAGUCCACGCGGUAAACGAUGAAUACUAGGUGUAGGGGGUAUCAACUCCCCCUGUGCCGGAGCUAACGCAAUAAGUAUUCCGCCUGGGGAGUGCGGCCGCAAGGUUGAAACUCAAAUGAAUUGACGG
RNAcentral lists this ribosomal RNA (873 nucleotides) under uncultured bacterium. RNAcentral describes it as "bacterial SSU rRNA". It matches the Rfam family "Bacterial small subunit ribosomal RNA", at positions 27 to 916 of the family's 1533-position model. The record is from RNAcentral.